UACAGAGGGUGCGAGCGUUGUCCGGAAUCACUGGGCGUAAAGGGCGCGUAGGUGGCCUGAUAAGUAGGGGGUGAAAUCUCGAGGCUCAACUUCGAGGCUGCCUUCUAAACUGUCGGGCUUGAGCAGAGUAGAGGCAGGUGGAAUUCCCGGUGUAGCGGUGGAAUGCGUAGAGAUCGGGAAGAACAUCGGUGGCGAAGGCGGCAUCCUGGACCGACAUUGACGCUGAUGAGCGAAAGCUAGGGGAGCAAACGGG
This 253-nucleotide ribosomal RNA is filed under the name uncultured bacterium. Its description in RNAcentral is "partial 16S ribosomal RNA". It matches the Rfam family "Bacterial small subunit ribosomal RNA", at positions 524 to 776 of the family's 1533-position model. The record is from RNAcentral.